Molecule: ribosomal RNA, 253 nt
Filed under: uncultured bacterium
Lineage: Bacteria
Description: partial 16S ribosomal RNA
Rfam family: Bacterial small subunit ribosomal RNA
Source: RNAcentral
UACGUAGGGUGCGAGCGUUGUCCGGAAUUACUGGGCGUAAAGAGCUCGUAGGUGGUUUGUCGCGUUGUCCGUGAAAACUCACAACUCAAUUGUGGGCGUGCGGGCGAUACGGGCAGACUGGAGUACUGCAGGGGAGACUGGAAUUCCUGGUGUAGCGGUGAAAUGCGCAGAUAUCAGGAGGAACACCGGUGGCGAAGGCGGGUCUCUGGGUAGUAACUGACGCUGAGGAGCGAAAGCGUGGGUAGCGAACAGG